CCUACGGGUGGCAGCAGUGGGGAAUAUUGGGCAAUGGAGGCAACUCUGACCCAGCAACGCCGCGUGAAUGAUGAAGGUCUUCGGAUUGUAAAGUUCUGUUAUAAGGGAAGAAGAAAGUGACGGUACACUAGGAAUAAGACGCGGCUAACUACGCGCCAGCAGCCGCGGUAAUACGUAGGAGGAAAGGGUUAUACGGAAUGACUGGACGUAAAGGGCGCGUAGGUUGUUUGAAAAGUUAGAAGCGCAACUCCGGGGCUCAACCUCGGAACGACUACGGAAACGGUUUGACUUGAGUGCAGGAGGGGAAAGUGGAAUUCCUAGUGUAGCGGUGGAAUGCGUAGAGAUUAGGAGGAACACCAGUGGCGAAGGCGGCUUUCUAGACUGUAACUGACGCUGAUGCACGAAAGCGUGGGGAGCAAACAGGAUUAGAUACCCUUGUAGUC
Molecule: ribosomal RNA, 443 nt
Filed under: uncultured bacterium
Lineage: Bacteria
Description: partial 16S ribosomal RNA
Rfam family: Bacterial small subunit ribosomal RNA
Source: RNAcentral